Molecule: ribosomal RNA, 433 nt
Filed under: uncultured bacterium
Lineage: Bacteria
Description: partial 16S ribosomal RNA
Rfam family: Bacterial small subunit ribosomal RNA
Source: RNAcentral
AACGAACGCUGGCGGCAUGCCUAACACAUGCAAGUCGAACGAGACCUUCGGGUCUAGUGGCGCACGGGUGCGUAACGCGUGGGAACCUGCCCUUAGGUUCGGAAUAACUCCCCGAAAGGGGUGCUAAUACCGGAUAAUGUCUUCGGACCAAAGAUUUAUCGCCUUUGGAUGGGCCCGCGUUGGAUUAGCUAGUUGGUAGGGUAAAAGCCUACCAAGGCGACGAUCCAUAGCUGGUCUGAGAGGAUGAUCAGCCACACUGGGACUGAGACACGGCCCAGACUCCUACGGGAGGCAGCAGUGGGGAAUAGUGGAAAAUGGGCGAAAGCCUGAUCCAGCAAUGCCGGGUGAGUGAUGAAGGCCUUAGGGUUGUAAAGCUCUUUUACCCGGGAUGAUAAUGACAGUACCGGGAGAAUAAGCUCCGGCUAACUCCGUG